CUUUGAUAUGGUAAUGGUAUUAGUUUCAUGCAGACCAGUAUGUUCUAGUAUCAUAAUCAAGAGAAACAUUAAUACUUAUCCACAGCUUAAUAAUUACGCAUCAUUUUUAUUAUAUUUAGAAUGGGACAAGCACAGCGUUUAAAUCAAGUCUAAACACCACUUAUACAACUUAAACAGGAUGGCAGGGGUUGUGAGGUCUGCUUUAUUAGGUCACGCGUACGUCAUGUGAUAUAUCCCCAGAAUGGGAAACUGGUAACAAAUUCAUAGAGGCAAUUAUUAUUUCUGUAGCAAGUAAAGUAGAGGAGAUAAAACCAAAAUGUUAUAUUUUGCUUGUUGUUGUCUGGAAUACAAGGGAGUGGCUACUUAUUGUGUCUAUAGGUGCGCCUUAUCUCCGCCUCUGGGAAGACUGGGAACUUGAGAUGAAUCUAAAGGGUAUAUAACAAGUGAUAUCGAAAGGUCUUGGUGUGCUUGCUUGGGGGUCAGAAUCUAAUUCUAAGUGAGUCACCAUCUUUCCUUCCUUGCCAGAGACCCCCUGGACAGAAGUUGUAC
Pelobates cultripes (western spadefoot toad) is the source of this 549-nucleotide non-coding RNA. NCBI's taxonomy places the organism in Eukaryota, Metazoa, Chordata, Amphibia, Anura, Pelobatidae. The record is from the annotation of a GenBank genome assembly.